UACGUAGGGUGCGAGCGUUAAUCGGAAUUACUGGGCGUAAAGGGUGCGUAGGCGGCACGGUAAGUCAGAGGUGAAAUCCCGGAGCUCAACUUCGGAAUGGCCUCCGAUACUGCCGUGCUUGAGGACUGGAGAGGAGUCUGGAAUUCACAGUGGAGCAGUGAAAUGCGUAGAUAUUGUGAGGAACACUAGUGGCGAAGGCGAGACUCUGGACAGUUCCUGACGCUGAGGCACGAAGGCCAGGGGAGCAAACGGG
RNAcentral lists this ribosomal RNA (253 nucleotides) under uncultured bacterium. RNAcentral describes it as "partial 16S ribosomal RNA". It matches the Rfam family "Bacterial small subunit ribosomal RNA", at positions 524 to 776 of the family's 1533-position model. The record is from RNAcentral.